AGCUACGUAGCAUAGUGGUUUGAGCAUGAAACUAUGACUCUGGAGAUCAGGGUUCGAUUCUCCGCUUGGCCA
Phrynosoma platyrhinos (Desert horned lizard) is the source of this 72-nucleotide non-coding RNA. The record is from the annotation of a GenBank genome assembly. NCBI's taxonomy places the organism in Eukaryota, Metazoa, Chordata, Lepidosauria, Squamata, Phrynosomatidae.